GAUGAACGCUGGCGGCGUGCCUAAUACAUGCAAGUCGAGCGAACAGACGAGGAGCUUGCUCCUCUGACGUUAGCGGCGGACGGGUGAGUAACACGUGGAUAACCUACCUAUAAGACUGGUAUCACUUCGGGAAACCGGAGCUAAUACCGGAUAAUAUAUUGAACCGCAUGGUUCAAUAGUGAAAGACGGUUUUGCUGUCACUUAUAGAUGGAUCCGCGCCGCAUUAGCUAGUUGGUAAGGUAACGGCUUACCAAGGCAACGAUGCGUAGCCGACCUGAGAGGGUGAUCGGCCACACUGGAACUGAAACACGGUCCAGACUCCUACGGGAGGCAGCAGUAGGGAAUCUUACGCAAUAGGCGAAAGCCUGACGGAGCAACGCCGCGUGAGUGAUGAAGGUCUUCGGAUCGUAAAACUCUGUUAUUAGGGAAGAACAAAUGUGUAAGUAACUAUGCACGUCUUGACGGUACCUAAUCAGAAAGCCACGGCUAACUACGUG
RNAcentral lists this ribosomal RNA (497 nucleotides) under uncultured bacterium. RNAcentral's name for it is "partial 16S ribosomal RNA". It matches the Rfam family "Bacterial small subunit ribosomal RNA", at positions 28 to 507 of the family's 1533-position model. The record is from RNAcentral.